Molecule: long non-coding RNA, 233 nt
Organism: Anolis carolinensis (green anole)
Lineage: Eukaryota; Metazoa; Chordata; Lepidosauria; Squamata; Anolidae
Rfam family: Six3os1 conserved region 7
Source: Rfam
AGCCCCCCCUUUCUCCCCCUCCUCUAUAUCUGCAUCGGAAUGCAGAGCAAAGUUGGUGUGUGUGUGUGUUUUUUUUCUUCCUCAAGUUUUGAAUUCCUCCAUGAUUUUUCCCCCCUUCCCCUCUACUUCUAGAAAGGCGGCUUAGGAUAAUUAUUUCAGCUUUAUUGAGGGCAGAUUAGGAGAAGUCUGGAUGCUGCGUUUCAAUACGCGUACUACAUGCCUCGACAAUGUCC